Molecule: ribosomal RNA, 462 nt
Filed under: Streptococcus mitis
Lineage: Bacteria; Bacillati; Bacillota; Bacilli; Lactobacillales; Streptococcaceae
Description: bacterial SSU rRNA
Rfam family: Bacterial small subunit ribosomal RNA
Source: RNAcentral
GACGAACGCUGGCGGCGUGCCUAAUACAUGCAAGUAGAACGCUAAAGGAGGAGCUUGCUUCUCUGGAUGAGUUGCGAACGGGUGAGUAACGCGUAGGUAACCUGCCUGGUAGCGGGGGAUAACUAUUGGAAACGAUAGCUAAUACCGCAUAAUAGUAGUUGUUGCAUGACAACUGUUUGAGAGGUGCAAUUGCAUCACUACCAGAUGGACCUGCGUUGUAUUAGCUAGUUGGUGGGGUAACGGCUCACCAAGGCGACGAUACAUAGCCGACCUGAGAGGGUGAUCGGCCACACUGGGACUGAGACACGGCCCAGACUCCUACGGGAGGCAGCAGUAGGGAAUCUUCGGCAAUGGACGGAAGUCUGACCGAGCAACGCCGCGUGAGUGAAGAAGGUUUUCGGAUCGUAAAGCUCUGUUGUAAGAGAAGAACGAGUGUGAGAGUGGAAAGUUCACACUGUGACG